RNAcentral lists this ribosomal RNA (443 nucleotides) under uncultured bacterium. RNAcentral describes it as "partial 16S ribosomal RNA". It matches the Rfam family "Bacterial small subunit ribosomal RNA", at positions 338 to 795 of the family's 1533-position model. The record is from RNAcentral.
GCUACGGGUGGCUGCAGUGGGGAAUAUUGGGCAAUGGGCGCAAGCCUGACCCAGCAACGCCGCGUGACGGCAGAAGGCUUUCGGGUUGUAAACUUCUUUUCUGCGGGACGAAGAAAGUGACGGUACCUCAGGCCUAAGCCACGGCUAACUACGUGCCAGCAGCCGCGGUAAUACGUGGGUGGCAAGCGUUAUCCGGAUUGAUUGGGGGUAAAGGGCGUGGAGGCGGGAAAGCAAGUUAGAUGUGAAAACUCAGGUCUCAACCCUGAGCCUGGAUUUGAAACUGUUUUUCUUGAGUGCUGGAGAGGCAAGCGGAAUUCCGUGUGUAGCGGUGAAAUGCGUAGAUAUACGGAGGAACACCAGUGGCGAAGGCGGAUUGCUGGACAGUAACUGACGGUGAGGCGCGAAAGCGUGGGGAGCAAACAGGAUUAGAUACCCUUGUAGUC